Molecule: ribosomal RNA, 585 nt
Filed under: uncultured bacterium
Lineage: Bacteria
Description: bacterial SSU rRNA
Rfam family: Bacterial small subunit ribosomal RNA
Source: RNAcentral
ACGGGUGAGUAACACAUCGGAACGUGCCUAGUAGUGGGGGAUAACUACUCGAAAGAGUAGCUAAUACCGCAUGAGAUCUAAGGAUGAAAGCAGGGGACCUUCGGGCCUUGCGCUACUAGAGCGGCUGAUGGCAGAUUAGGUAGUUGGUGGGAUAAAAGCUUACCAAGCCGACGAUCUGUAGCUGGUCUGAGAGGACGACCAGCCACACUGGGACUGAGACACGGCCCAGACUCCUACGGGAGGCAGCAGUGGGGAAUUUUGGACAAUGGGCGAAAGCCUGAUCCAGCAAUGCCGCGUGUAGGAUGAAGGCCCUCGGGUUGUAAACUACUUUUGUACGGAACGAAAAGCUCUCUUCUAAUAAAGGAGAGUGAUGACGGUACCGUAAGAAUAAGCACCGGCUAACUACGUGCCAGCAGCCGCGGUAAUACGUAGGGUGCAAGCGUUAAUCGGAAUUACUGGGCGUAAAGCGUGCGCAGGCGGUUAUGUAAGACAGAGGUGAAAUCCCCGGGCUCAACCUGGGAACGGCCUUUGUGACUGCAUAGCUAGAGUACGGUAGAGGGGGAUGGAAUUCCGCGUGUAGCAGUG